RNAcentral lists this unclassified non-coding RNA (253 nucleotides) under uncultured Gemmatimonadota bacterium. Its description in RNAcentral is "uncultured Gemmatimonadetes bacterium contains 16S-23S intergenic spacer region". It matches the Rfam family "Bacterial small subunit ribosomal RNA", at positions 524 to 776 of the family's 1533-position model. Lineage: Bacteria; Pseudomonadati; Gemmatimonadota. The record is from RNAcentral.
GACGGAGGGCGCAAGCGUUGUUCGGAAUUACUGGGCGUAAAGCGCGCGCAGGCGGAAGGAUAAGUCGGGGGUGAAAGACCGGGGCUCAACCCCGGGGCGGCCUCCGAGACUGUUUUUCUGGGGACCGGUAGGGGCGGGUGGAAUUCCCGGUGUAGCGGUGGAAUGCGUAGAUAUCGGGAAGAACACCUGUGGCGAAGGCGGCCCGCUGGGCCGGAUCCGACGCUGAGGCGCGAAAGCGUGGGGAGCAAACAGG